CCGUGCAUUUACAAUGCAGUUGCUUUUAUAGUAUUUUUUUCUUUUGAAAUGGAUGCUUCAUUAGCAUGGUUCUAAACACCGGACUGAGGGGUUUGGAUUCUUAAAAACAGCUAAUAGCAGGUUAAAUGAGGCUAUAGUGGGGAUAUAUACCUAUAGGGGGCUAUGGCAGCAGCUAUAGCGGGAGAUAAAACCUUGUUCAUUAUUAGAUGAUGCGAUUGCAUUUACCAGUGAGAUGGAAUUUGGUUUGAGGGUUUAAGGUUCAGUAUAGUCCAUCAGGGAGUUGGUUAAGUCACAUAAGACCACUGACAGACUGCCUGAAAGCAAAUAAGGAUCUGGGCCUGGGAUGGGCUAUGGAAAUGUCCCAGAUCUUUAAAAAAUGCUCGCAUGCCUGCAGUCCAUCAUCAUCUUCAUUGCUGGGCUCAUCGUCGGCGUACGUAGACCAUUUUAGGCUGUUUUCAACAUUCUUCUUUCAUUGUCUUUUAGUCUCCGAGUUCUCUAGUUGUGUUUUGGUAGAUGAACAACGUAAGAAAUUUUUUAUUUCUAUAUAAGAUGAAAUUUCGCUUGAAUUCUGCAAACCACGAGAUGGUAAUAAUGCACGUCUACAAGAAAAAUUUAAAGAUUGAAGCAAGAUGUGUGAUGCCAAAGAGCAGAGAACGCCGGCACCUGUUGUGCUCCUCCAUCUGAGCCUAUUGAGAGCGCCGCUGGUGGUGCGUGGAGUCCGACUCGAAUAGGUGUGAACCCCUACCCUAAUAACAUAACCACGGACCGAUCUCUUGUGAGAGGAGGAGAGGAGAAGUUAAAACCGGCCGCCGGAAUCCAUAGCUACCUUGGAGAUGGAUGGUGACCAAGACCAAGACGAGAGGGGGUUCAGCACGGCGGUUCCGGCGUCCUGCGGCGAGGAGGGACCUGCCAAGACGGAGGAGGGGAAGGUAGCGGCGGCCGAGAAGAAGACGACGACGACGAAGAAGAAGGUGAUCAAGACGAUACCUCCAGAUCACGUCGAGUUCGUCCUGGCCAUGAAGCCCAGGCCGGUGUCCAGGUUGCCGCCGGGGUUGAAGAUCUCCGAGGAGUGCCGCCGCCAGUCUGCCAGGGUGAACUUAACGAUCUCAUCAGGUCCAGCAACGAGCUCGUGCGCAGCACCCAGGACAGGUACCGCCAUGACCUCGCCACCAAGGGAUGCAUCCAGGUCGAGGUUGAGGUCACCGACGACGAAGCGUGAACAUUGUGGAUUGGAUGAGAACUGAUCGACCUGAAUGCUCAAUUAUUUUUCGUAUUUGGGGUUUGUAUAGUUUGCACGUUUGGCUUAAUUAGAUCGAAUACAAGUGUUUGACGUGUCCUUACCAGCCCAGGCGAGCAAGAUUCGCUCUCACACAUCAGCGAGGUGAUAACCUUGCCAGCGUGCUCCAAGUCUCCAAGUCAAGCUUAAAUUCCUGUCCUCC
This 1439-nucleotide long non-coding RNA is filed under the name Setaria italica (foxtail millet). RNAcentral's name for it is "long non-coding RNA (SITA_LNC001842)". The record is from RNAcentral. Lineage: Eukaryota; Viridiplantae; Streptophyta; Magnoliopsida; Poales; Poaceae.